This 363-nucleotide unclassified non-coding RNA is filed under the name Athalia rosae (coleseed sawfly). Its description in RNAcentral is "misc RNA ENSAEAG00005011119.1". Lineage: Eukaryota; Metazoa; Arthropoda; Insecta; Hymenoptera; Athaliidae. The record is from RNAcentral.
CCGCGUGUCUACCGGACUAGGUAGAGAGAGGAGUGUAGUUGGGUCUGUUCCUCCGUGACGGUGGUUGAUUGCGAUGGUAGUCGCGUAGUGGUAGUCGUGAAGAAUGAAGAGGGGGAGGAGAAAUGGGAGGGGGAGGGGCAGGAGGAGGAGGAGGAAAGGGCAGUGGGGGUGGUGAUGGUUCUUGGUGGUGGUCGAGGCACCGCGCGCUCGUCGUCGUUGCCCACUCUUCUUUCGGUGGUAGUUCGGUCAGAACCGUCUGGAGGUCCGAUGCUGUUGUAUUGGUGACGUGUCACGAUGUGUCGGUGACUAGUGGUGGCUAAGCCAGGACAGCAGCAGCAACAGCGGCGGCGGCAGCAGCAGCAG